UUGACGCCUGUGACCAGCACUUGCCUCGUCUAGUCGCUGAUCACGAUGGGAUGAUGCAACAUACUUAAUAUGUUGUGUUACCAUGGCGUCAUAGAUUAAAGCAACUUACGUUGCACUUUGUAUAUUCCAUGGCUGUUUGUAGCCCGUUGGGCUUUGACCAUUCAGACAGACCAUACAAUGGACAAUC
This 187-nucleotide small nucleolar RNA is filed under the name Rhodnius prolixus. Its description in RNAcentral is "small nucleolar RNA SNORA73 family". The record is from RNAcentral. Lineage: Eukaryota; Metazoa; Arthropoda; Insecta; Hemiptera; Reduviidae.